This 1336-nucleotide long non-coding RNA is filed under the name Marmota monax (woodchuck). Lineage: Eukaryota; Metazoa; Chordata; Mammalia; Rodentia; Sciuridae. The record is from RNAcentral.
UCCUUUUCCCAUUGUGUUUUCUGCAGCAGGCAGAGCCUCCAGCCCUGGGACAAGGUCAAUGACGCCUCGGCUGCUUAAGGAGGGGCAGAUGGCCCCCACCCCCGGCUAACCACAAGGACAGGCAGAGCCGACUGCCUGGGAGGGCAGGGAUGCCCUCAAGGACCAGCUCGGAGGCCCAGACGCAGGGGCUCAUGUAAGACUCAGGACCAUGGAAGCCCCUCCUUCCACACCAUGAGCCUGACACCAAAUAGCACAGCAAGCAGCGGUGGUCAGUCGUGUCCUGGGGAAGGGCCGGAGCCAGGAGAGUCCCACAUGGUGCAGGCCUGUGGGCACAAAGGUGGAGGAAGGGCUGGGAACACAAAGGAAGGCCUCUGGCACUUCAGCCCCAUGUGACCUAGAGCAGCUGGUCACCCUGGGCUUGGGACACUGAUGCAAGGCAAGUGUGGUCUGCAGAAACAAAGCCCAAGCCCGUUGAGCGCCUGACCAGACUGUCAACCACCUGCUCCGCACUCUCUUAAAGGCAUAUAGAAUAUUUCCUGCAGCACUGCAGUUUGGAUCUGAAGUGUCCCCACAGGCCCCUGGCGUGCAGGCCUGUCCCCAGCCGAGGUGCUGUUUACUGAGAGGGGAGGACCUGUCAGAGGUGGUGAAGCCAGAAUUAGACAGGCAGUCAGUCUAGAAAGGUAAGGCAAGUCAGGUCAGCUCAAGGAGGUCAAUUUUGAGUGAGGCUGGGAAGUUGGAGACUGUCCUCUUGAAGUGGCACCCCCUUUCUCCACAGAAAAGCCCUCUUCACCAUGGCUGAUUUUAGGACUGUCAGCAAAAGAGUCUCUUCGAAAGAGUCCAAUGUAGAUAAAGUUCCUAUUUUCAUGUCACCCUGCUUACUUGGCCACUGGCCGAGAAGAUACCAGCACUCCAGGUGAUGGACACCCCUUACUAGUUUUUGACACACAUAUCCAGUAUAGUAGUUUGAAGAACUGUGCAAACAAGGCCUCUGGCCUUGAGCUGGGCUUCACAGAGAUGUCUACAUUUUUAAGAUAAGUUACAAAUGGGCCCAUGGUAACAGCUGGCAGGGGGAGGAAAGAGAGGGGAGAAGAGGCUCCCCCUUCUCAGGUGUUGUCCUUGAAGGGUCAACUUGCCCAGAACAGUGAGAGAAAAAGCUGAUUUCGUGUGAACUUCUGCAGACUGUGAACUGCUGAGCCCCUCCCCUUACAUGCUGGGGAUAAAAUUCUGAAACUCCCUGAACUCGGGGUUCAGGGGAUUGAUUGAUUACAGCACAGGCUGUGCCCCCUGAGCCUGGCUGCAGCCAAAUAAAACUGUUUCCUGCCGUCUUGGGUGCCUG